This 88-nucleotide non-coding RNA is filed under the name Streptomyces sp. RNAcentral's name for it is "ZTP sequence". It matches the Rfam family "ZMP/ZTP riboswitch aptamer (pfl RNA motif)". Rfam says of the family: Previously known as pfl RNA. The record is from RNAcentral. Lineage: Bacteria; Bacillati; Actinomycetota; Actinomycetes; Kitasatosporales; Streptomycetaceae.
UGCGCGAGCCGUGACUGGCGCUUGGGUGGAGUACCACCGGGAAGCGGCUCGGCCACUUCGGCCAAUGCCGUGCGCCUGGGCGAUCCCG